This 75-nucleotide transfer RNA is filed under the name Marmota monax (woodchuck). RNAcentral describes it as "tRNA.Val". The stretch from base 4 to 69 matches the Rfam family "tRNA". From Rfam's summary of the family: Transfer RNA (tRNA) molecules are approximately 80 nucleotides in length. The record is from RNAcentral. Lineage: Eukaryota; Metazoa; Chordata; Mammalia; Rodentia; Sciuridae.
GUUGGGGAUAUAGCUCAGUUGGUAGAGUGCUUGCCUCACAUGCACAAGGUCCUGGGUUCAAUAUCCCCCCCAACA